RNAcentral lists this ribosomal RNA (309 nucleotides) under uncultured soil bacterium. RNAcentral describes it as "bacterial SSU rRNA". It matches the Rfam family "Bacterial small subunit ribosomal RNA", at positions 26 to 337 of the family's 1533-position model. The record is from RNAcentral.
AGAUUGAACGCUGGCGGCAUGCCUUACACAUGCAAGUCGAACGGCAGCACGGGAGCAAUCCUGGUGGCGAGUGGCGAACGGGUGAGUAAUAUAUCGGAACGUGCCCAGUCGUGGGGGAUAACGCAGUGAAAGCUGUGCUAAUACCGCAUACGAUCUAUGGAUGAAAGCGGGGGACUCGCAAGAGCCUCGCGCGAUUGGAGCGGCCGAUAUCAGAUUAGCUAGUUGGUGGGGUAAAGCCACCAAGGCGACGAUCUGUAGCUGGUCUGAGAGGACGACCAGCCACACUGGAACUGAGACACGGUCCAGACU